This 506-nucleotide ribosomal RNA is filed under the name uncultured bacterium. Its description in RNAcentral is "partial 16S ribosomal RNA". It matches the Rfam family "Bacterial small subunit ribosomal RNA", at positions 29 to 523 of the family's 1533-position model. The record is from RNAcentral.
AGUGAACGCUGGCGGUAGGCCUAACACAUGCAAGUCGAACGGCAGCACAGGAGAGCUUGCUCUCUGGGUGGCGAGUGGCGGACGGGUGAGGAAUACAUCGGAAUCUACUCUGUCGUGGGGGAUAACGUAGGGAAACUUACGCUAAUACCGCAUACGACCUACGGGUGAAAGCAGGGGACCUUCGGGCCUUGCGCGAUUGAAUGAGCCGAUGUCGGAUUGGCUAGUUGGCGGGGCAAAGGCCCACCAAGGCGACGACCCGUAGCUGGUCUGAGAGGAUGAUCAGCCACACUGGAACGGAGACACGGUCCAGACUCCUACGGGAGGCAGCAGUGGGGAAUAUUGGACAAUGGGCGCAAGCCUGAUCCAGCCAUACCGCGUGGGUGAAGAAGGCCUUCGGGUUGUAAAGCCCUUUUGUUGGGAAAGAAAUCCAGCUGGCUAAUACCCGGUUGGGAUGACGGUACCCAAAGAAUAAGCACCGGCUAACUUCGUGCCAGCAGCCGCCGUAA